RNAcentral lists this ribosomal RNA (425 nucleotides) under uncultured bacterium. RNAcentral's name for it is "partial 16S ribosomal RNA". It matches the Rfam family "Bacterial small subunit ribosomal RNA", at positions 354 to 796 of the family's 1533-position model. The record is from RNAcentral.
GUUAGGAAUAUUGGACAAUGGGCGCAAGCCUGAUCCAGCCAUGCCGCGUGAGUGAUGAAGGCCUUCGGGUUGUAAAGCUCUUUAGUCCACGAAUAUAAUGACUGUAGUGGAAGAAUAAGCCCCGGCUAACUUCGUGCCAGCAGCCGCGGUAAUACGAAGGGGGCGAGCGUUAUUCGGAAUCACUGGGCGUAAAGCGUGCGUAGGCUGUUUUGUAAGUCAGAAGUGAAAGCCCAGGGCUUAACCCUGGAAUUGCUUUUGAAACUACAAGACUCGAAUUCGGGAGAGGAUAGCGGAAUUGUCAGUGUAGCAGUGAAAUGCGUAGAUAUUGACAGGAACACCAGUGGCGCAAGCGGCUAUCUGGACCAAUAUUGACGCUGAGGCACGAAAGCGUGGGGAGCAAACAGGAUUAGAAACCCUGGUAGUCC